GAUGAACGCUAGCGGCGGGCCUAACACAUGCAAGUCGAGGGAGAAGCCCUUUCGGGGGCAGAAACCGGCGCACGGGUGCGUAACGCGUAUGCAACCUACCUUUCACAGGGGGAUAGCCCGAAGAAAUUUGGAUUAAUACCCCAUAAUAUUAUUGGAUGGCAUCAUUUGAUAAUUAAAACUGCGGUGGUGAAAGAUGGGCAUGCGUCCUAUUAGCUAGUUGGAGUGGUAACGGCACCCCAAGGCUACGAUAGGUAGGGGUCCUGAGAGGGAGGUCCCCCACACUGGUACUGAGACAGGGACCAGACUCCUACGGGAGGCAGCAGUGAGGAAUAUUGGUCAAUGGUCGGAAGACUGAACCAGCCAUGCCGCGUGCAGGAAGAAUGCCUUAUGGGUUGUAAACUGCUUUUAUAUGGGAAGAAUAAGGCGUACGUGUACGUUGAUGACGGUACCAUAUGAAUAAGCAUCGGCUAACUCCGUG
This 478-nucleotide ribosomal RNA is filed under the name uncultured bacterium. Its description in RNAcentral is "partial 16S ribosomal RNA". It matches the Rfam family "Bacterial small subunit ribosomal RNA", at positions 28 to 507 of the family's 1533-position model. The record is from RNAcentral.